GAACCCUACGGGGGACAGCAGUGGGGAAUAUUGCACAAUGGGCGAAAGCCUGAUGCAGCAACGCCGCGUGAAGGAAGAAGGCCUUCGGGUCGUAAACUUCUGUCCUUGGGGAAGAAGAACUGACGGUACCCAAGGAGGAAGCCCCGGCUAACUACGUGCCAGCAGCCGCGGUAAUACGUAGGUGGCGAGCGUUAUCCGGAAUGAUUGGGCGUAAAGGGUGCGCAGGCGGUCCUGCAAGUCUGGAGUGAAACGCAUGAGCUCAACUCAUGCAUGGCUUUGGAAACUGGAGGACUGGAGAGCAGGAG
RNAcentral lists this ribosomal RNA (305 nucleotides) under uncultured bacterium. RNAcentral describes it as "bacterial SSU rRNA". It matches the Rfam family "Bacterial small subunit ribosomal RNA", at positions 334 to 654 of the family's 1533-position model. The record is from RNAcentral.